GCAUAUCAAUAAGCGGAGGAAAAGAAACCAACAGGGAUUGCCCUAGUAACGGCGAGUGAAGCGGCAACAGCUCAAAUUUGAAAUCUGGCUCUUUCAGAGUCCGAGUUGUAAUUUGCAGAGGGCGCUUUGGCUUUGGCAGCGGUCCAAGUUCCUUGGAACAGGACGUCACAGAGGGUGAGAAUCCCGUACGUGGUCGCUAGCUAUUGCCGUGUAAAGCCCCUUCGACGAGUCGAGUUGUUUGGGAAUGCAGCUCUAAAUGGGAGGUAAAUUUCUUCUAAAGCUAAAUAUUGGCCAGAGACCGAUAGCGCACAAGUAGAGUGAUCGAAAGAUGAAAAGCACUUUGGAAAGAGAGUCAAACAGCACGUGAAAUUGUUGAAAGGGAAGCGCUUGCAGCCAGACUUGCUUGCAGUUGCUCAUCCGGGCUUUUGCCCGGUGCACUCUUCUGUAGGCAGGCCAGCAUCAGUUUGGGCGGUGGGAUAAAGGUCUCUGUCACGUACCUCUCUUCGGGGAGGCCUUAUAGGGGAGACGACAUACCACCAGCCUAGACUGAGGUCCGCGCAUCUGCUAGGAUGCUGGCGUAAUGGCUGUAAGCGGCCCGUCUUGAAACACGGACCAAGGAGUCUAACAUCUAUGCGAGUGUUUGGGUGUCAAGCCCGAGCGCGUAAUGAAAGUGAACGGAGGUGGGAACCCGCAAGGGUGCACCAUCGACCGAUCCUGAAGUUUACGGAAGGAUUUGAGUAAGAGCAUGGCUGUUGGGACCCGAAAGAUGGUGAACUAUGCUUGAAUAGGGUGAAGCCAGAGGAAACUCUGGUGGAGGCUCGCAGCGGUUCUGACGUGCAAAUCGAUCGUCAAAUUUGGGCAUAGGGGCGAAAGACUAAUCGAACUAUCUAGUAGCUGGGUUCCUGCCGAAG
Molecule: ribosomal RNA, 911 nt
Filed under: Bipolaris maydis (southern corn leaf blight pathogen)
Lineage: Eukaryota; Fungi; Ascomycota; Dothideomycetes; Pleosporales; Pleosporaceae
Description: LSU rRNA
Rfam family: Eukaryotic large subunit ribosomal RNA
Source: RNAcentral